UUUGUCUUUGUAUUUCAGGUACC
Molecule: non-coding RNA, 23 nt
Filed under: Arabidopsis thaliana (thale cress)
Lineage: Eukaryota; Viridiplantae; Streptophyta; Magnoliopsida; Brassicales; Brassicaceae
Source: RNAcentral